GCCUCAAGCAAUACACAGGCAUUUCUGGCUCUAGAUCUUGAAGUUCACAACCAUUUCCACAGCUGCCUCGGUGCCCAGCAUGCUAAGGAUGUCGACUAGGCAGCCUUCCUACUGCUCAGAAAAUUUCACUCCUGCAGCUUCUUGGCUGGUUUUGAGGAAUCGCUAUGUGAGCAGGGCGCAGAUUAGCAUAAGUGUCACAUUCUGUGGGCUUGCCCGCUCAUUUCUCAGGCAUUGCUUAUGCUGGGGAUUUCUCAACUGGAUAAUAAGAGGAAUAUGGCCUACACAUGCGGAGCGGGCACAGUUUUCUGCAGGCAGUGUGGAAUAAAUCUCACCUGGAGGAGAGCAUGCCUUCACUAAACACUAAGGAUGUCAUUUGGAAGUUUCCUCAGAAGAUGGCAGUUAAGCAUCCACCGCACUUCGCAUUUCUAGAGAACUAUUGUUGACUUUCAGAUUCCAAAUUUUACAACAGCCAAGCUAUUUGGAACAAACCCGUGUUUGUCCACAGACCUGACCCAUUCAAAACGGAAUAACAGCUCUAGUUCGCAUUUUUUUAAUCUCUCACUUUCUGCUCUGUUGGAGAAAUUAUGUCUAAGACUGAAAUGAUAUUUAGAAAUAAAGCUGUUUGUCAAGUGUGUGUGUGACAACCAAACUGGUGGGUCAUUACCUUUAGCACCGACACAUGCCUCUCUAAUCAUCUUAGCUCGAUGUUGAAACUUCACUGUAGCCAGGAACGGAGGGUCAUGAAUUUGUUUGAUCUGGUUCCAACCUGGGCAGAGAAGGUUUGGGAAAGCCAGUCACUCUCCUGUGGGGUCAGAACAGGGGAAGGAUGCACACUGUAUAAAACCUUGCAAAAGAUACAUACAGACGGCAGGCCCUUGCCUCCAUAGCGACCUGUCUGGAGGAGUCAUCCCACAGAACUAGCGAAAUGAGCUAGUGAACUGGCAAA
This is a long non-coding RNA of Mesocricetus auratus (golden hamster), 946 nucleotides long. RefSeq lists it as uncharacterized. Lineage: Eukaryota; Metazoa; Chordata; Mammalia; Rodentia; Cricetidae. The transcript has 3 exons. The record is from RefSeq and is a predicted model, not a curated record.